RNAcentral lists this ribosomal RNA (498 nucleotides) under uncultured bacterium. RNAcentral describes it as "partial 16S ribosomal RNA". It matches the Rfam family "Bacterial small subunit ribosomal RNA", at positions 28 to 506 of the family's 1533-position model. The record is from RNAcentral.
GACGAACGCUGGCGGCGUGCCUAAUACAUGCAAGUCGAGCGAAGUUUUUCUGGUGCUUGCACUAGAAAAACUUAGCGGCGAACGGGUGAGUAACACGUAAAGAACCUGCCUCAUAGACUGGGACAACUAUUGGAAACGAUAGCUAAUACCGGAUAACAGUAUUUCUCGCAUGAGAGAUAUUUAAAAGUUGGUUAUGCUAACACUAUGGGAUGGCUUUGCGGUGCAUUAGCUAGUUGGUGGGGUAAAGGCCCACCAAGGCGACGAUGCAUAGCCGACCUGAGAGGGUGAUCGGCCACACUGGGACUGAGACACGGCCCAGACUCCUACGGGAGGCAGCAGUAGGGAAUCUUCCGCAAUGGGCGAAAGCCUGACGGAGCAACGCCGCGUGAGUGAAGAAGGAUUUCGGUUCGUAAAGCUCUGUUGUUAGGGAAGAAUGGAUAUGUAGUAACUAUACAUGUAAGAGACGGUACCUAACCAGAAAGCCACGGCUAACUACGU